GGCCCUCCUAUGCUCUCUGAAUCUCAUGUACCUGUUCAUUGUCCGACAACAGCCGUAGACCUUCAGAUCCUCAUCGCGUGGCUGGAGUGUAGUCAUAAAGCGGUACGCAGAGUCACUUAAGCCGUCGUCUGAGCAACGUCCGAUCUCCAUCUGCUGGCUAUGAUCAAAUAACUGUAGCAUGCGCACUUGCUGUACCUGUUCAUGUCGCUGUCGGGCUGCUUUUACCUUCAGUGAACUUUUCCUCUUUAUAAAGACCUCAGAUCCCAUCGGGAGAGGCAUCAAAUGUAAACUGGGUUGUAACCCUAGCCGCCACUGGAGUGGUUGGCCUACUUUCCUCUUCUUGUAAGAAGCCUAGCGAGUUUCCUCUGAAAUCAAGCAAGAAUUCCUCUGAAAUUCCAUGUGUUUGUGUUCGUCAGUUAGUUAGAUCUUAAUAAUUGGUAAUCAGAGCAUAUGGUUCUCGGCGGCGUAGUGGAUUUGGGGGAGUUUAGGAGCUUGCUCCGUUCCCAGAUCCCGGUGGCGGCACGGCAACGGGUGGCACAGGCGGCGGUAGAUUGCUCGAGUGCAGGCCUGGCUUGGGUAGUGGUUGCUUCAGAACUUCUCUGCAGCGGUAAAAUCCCACCCACCCAUCCUCUCCAGUGCACUGUUGGCGGUGGGCGCAGGCGGCGGUGUUCGGCGGUGGAAGAAACAGGAAGCGCAGGUCCGGUUGCCACUUGUGGUUGUAAAAUCCCUCCCUCGCCCUCCCUGUUUGUGUUCUUUAUUCUGUUCGGUGUGAAAGCUUCCUGCUUUCAUAAACCCUGACAGAAUCAUGGCUCUCAACUCUAACUCCGCGGACACGGAUCUCCUCGAGCUCAAGUCCCUCCAGUUAGAUGUGCAAACACUCCAACAACAGCGAGCUGCAGAUCGCCAAGAAUUCAUCGAGUUCACCCACUCGGUCAAUCAAAAUUUUGCUGUUUUGCAAAGCAGUUUUUCCAAAGUUUAGUCGAGUUUGGAUGGUUUCUUCUCAAACCAACCGAAUCUGGGCAAACGCCUACUGACUGAAGGCCCUCCAGGCACUCCUGAAAACCUACCAGUCCACAAAGAUGCGGGGAUUUCACCUGGACAAGGCAGCAUCAACCGCACCUAAAGUCCAUGGCCUGGUGACCACUGUAGUGCCUGAUCCCACCACCAAGGAAAAUCCAGCCGAGCUGGCUGCCAGACACCCAUACAGUUGUGCAUGGGUCAUUUCUGAUAGCCUCCUCACAGAAUUUUGAAACCCACUUAGCAUUUAGUGUUCUCUGACAUAGAAGGGCAUGUGUGCACCAAAUACUGCUUCUUAAUUGUAAAUGACUUCUCAUUUGCAAUCUGAGAAGCUGCUAUAUACAAGGGGCAUUGCUCAUCUAUGCAAUGUGCUAUCACCCUAUCACUACAGUUUCUAUGGUAGACAAAGUUUCUGUUUUGAGCAAUGUGCAGGGUUAACUGGUACACAUUUAUGAAGCAAAGAUGCUUCACAAAUUGCUCCUCUGGAUGAGCUUUGUCCUCAUCAAACCAUAUCCUCUUCUUCAUCUUCUUUGCUCUGCUUUUUCUACCAUUGGGCAACACAUAUGCCAAUGCCUCAGCACCGUCAUCAUCUUCCACACCAAGGUCUUGUGGUUUCUUGUCGUCAUCAGAUGAUGGAAUCCAGUCCUCCUCAAACAUGUGUUCUAUACUCCCAUGUGAAUUGCUUGUUGGGCCUUUUCGUUGUCUCUUGGCCGUUUUCUUCUUUCGUACAUCUUGCCCUAGCUCAUCCUCUUGUUUCUCUUCCUCCAAUUCCUCCUCCUCUUCCUCCUCUACAUCCUCUUCUUCACCUUGUGGCACAUACAACUCAUCAUCCACCUCUAAGUCACACAUUUUGUCAACAUCUGUGUCCCCUUCAAAAUGAAGUUCUGGGUCAUUCCUCUGUCUUCUUAUCUCCACAAGCUUAGCUAUGAUAUCACCAUAUUCUAUCAGAUCAUCAUCAUCACUGUCCUCUUCAUUGUCCAUCACUGCAGCUUUCCUUUUCAAACAAGUCUCCUUCAGUCUUUCUUUCUUGUUCUUCCUAAACAUUUAAAUUUCCAGAGCCAACAACACUACCUCCUGCUAGAUCCUGCGAUCAUGCCAUUCCCCUGACCCCAUAUGCUAAAAUCAUCAACCAAAGAGCUAACAGACUUCCACACCACCAAAAAGAUGCCCUGGAAGAAAUUAUCAACAACAUGAUGCUGAGACACAUCAUCCAACACAGUUCCAGUCCUUAUUCAUCUCCUGCUAUAUUAGUCAAAAAGAAGGAUGCGACUUGAAGACUUCGCAAUGACUACAGGAAGCUGAAUGCUAUGACAAUCAAGAAUAAAUAUCCUAUUCCUGUCAUUGAAGAUCUCCUAGAUGAACUGCAUGGGGCAAAAUAUUUUUCCAAAAUAGAUCUCAAGAGUGGGUAUCACCAAAUUAGAAUGAAGCCUGAGGACAUUGAGAAAACAGCUUUCUCCACUCACAUGGGCCACUAUGAGUAUAUUGUCACGCCCUUUGAGUUGACAAAUGCACCUGCCACUUUCCAAUCCCUCAUGAACUAUUUAUUUGCCAAGUAUCACAGAAAAUUUGUGGUUGUGUUCUUUGAUGUUAUUCUGAUUUUUAGUGAAACUUUGGAAGGGCAUAAAGAGCACCUCAGAGAAGUAUUCAGAGUGCUGAGAGAAAACCAUCUCUCUGUAAGGGCAUGUAUAAUGGUUGAUAAGAUAGUCUUAUCUUAAGUUUUGCAUGUAAUUUAGAGAUGACAAAAAGUAUGUCUACAAUGGGUUAUAUCUUAGCCUUAUCUUCAAUAACUAGCAAUUCCUUAAAACAUGGUGAGACAACUUGUGCUAAGAGAUCAUCUCUUGUCUUAUCUUAAAUAAGAGAAGACAAGUCUUUUCUUACGAGUUCUCUUUCCUCCACCUCAUCAUUUAUCCUACGUGUCACUCCUAAGAUAGCACCAUUGUACAUGCCCUAACUUAGCCAAGUGCACUUUUGGACAAACUAGUGUGGAAUACCUGGGCCACAUCAUCACUGCUGAAGGUGUAGCAACAGACCCUGCUAAGAUUGAGGCCGUCACUAACUGGCCUGCUCCUACCAACAUCACUGAACAAAGGGGAUUUUUAGGGCUUGCAGGCUACUACAGGAGGUUUAUACAGGGUUAUGGAGUUGUGGGCAGGCGUCUCUUUGAUGCUCUAAAAAAGGGCAACUUUCACUGGUCUACCACUCAAGAACAAGCAUUCCAGGACCUUAAAUUUAGACUAAUAGAUGCCCCUGUCUUGGCCCUCCCUAACUUUUCCAAGCCUUUCAUCUUGGAACCAGAUGCUAGUGGCUAUGGUUUAGGUGCUGUCCUCAUGUAGGAAGGAAGGCCCAUUGCUUAUAUGAGCAAAUCUCUUGUCCCUAAAGCCCAGACCAUGAGCACUUAUGACAAGGAAACUAUGGCAAUUAUGGAAGCUUUAAAAGAAUGGAAACAUUAUUUUGCCAGCUCUUCCCUGAUCAUCAGAACAGACCAACAGAGUCUCAAAUAAAUCCAUGAGCAGAAACUUACACAAGGCAUCCAACACAAGUUACUGGUCAAACUCCUGGGCUACAACUACACAAUUGAGUACAAGGGAAGAGAAAACAGAGCAGCUGAUGCACUCUCUAGAGUGAGACACUGCUUGAGCUCUUUAGCUGCUAGUUCUAUUGUUCCCUUGUGGAUCACUGAAGUUGUCAAAUCUUAUUCCAUGGACCCCAAGUACAAGGCCAUCAUUACUGAGCUGGCACUUGAUCCCCAUGCUCAUCCUAAUUACACAUUCCAACAUGGCAUCCUCAGAUUUAAGAACGAAAUUGUGAUUGGCAACAACACUUCCCUCAGACAGGAUUUAAUCUAGACAUUCCAUAAGUCUGAACUUGGAGGACACUCUGGAGAAAGAGCAACUUACCAGAGAAUACACUUGCUAUGUCACUGGUCUGGUCUGCAACAAGAUGUGAUUGCAUAUGUUAAAGCAUGCCCUGUUUGCCAGCUCAAUAAAUCUGAAAAUACCACAUAUUCUGGCCUUUUACAGCCCUUGCCAAUUCCUGACUUUGCCUGGUGCCACAUAAGCAUGGACUUUGUGGAAGGUCUGCCAAUGUUUGAAAACAAAAACCUUAUACUGGUGGUUGUUGACAGUUUCACUAAAUAUGCCCAUUUCCUCUCUAUGAAGCACCCUAUCACUGUUCAAUCUGUUGCCAGACGAGUAAAUUGCAGGAAACCACCACUUUGAAGGCUAGGUUUGCAAAAAACACUACGUUACAUUUCUUUUUGCAGAAAACACCACAUCUUGUGUAAUCUUUUUGCAAAAACCAUUGAUCGGCGGAUCUUGCUCUGUAAAGUGAGAUUAUGACAGAUGGGUCCCAUUUUUCGCUAACAUGGCAUAACAUUUUACCAAAGACAGCGCUAGACGGGUAAAAAAGCGAAAACACCCGCAAGUUUUUCCCCUGUGCUGCCCAUGCCCUUGCCUUGUCCUGCCAUCACAGUCAGCCGCCAGAGGAGAGAAGCCCCCCAUCCCGCGCGCCGUCGCACGUAGCAGCCCGCCAGAGCUCCAACCCUCGACCUCGUCUGCCCUCUUCUCUCUCUCUCUCUCUCUCAACCGUCCUCCCAGUGCCGCCAUCUCCCUCCUCCGGGCGAGGGUUGCCAGGGAGAAGACAAAGCCGGCGAACUGCAUGCCGGCUGCUGCCUUCCUCGGCCUCGAUGGCGUCGGUCACCACCAUGCGCCAGCCGUCGCCGUGCUCACCUCCCAGCCCUGCAGCGCUCCCGCCUCUGCCUGGCCGCACCCACCGCAAUGCCAGCCGAGCCACCGCCGCCCUGCUCCGCCGGCGCUCGCCGCCGCUCUGCCAGCCGCGCCGCUGCCGCCCUGCUCUGCCCGCCGCCGCCGCGCUCCGAGGAGGGAGAUGGAGAGAGGAGGCUGUGCUCCGCGGCCACCGAGGAUGCAGGAGAGAGGAAGAUGCGGUGUCUCAGGCGAGGGAGUGGCUGCCCGGCCUCCUAUGUGUCGGUGCCGGGCGGAGGAUCUGGCGGGAGAGAUGGGGAUUGAAGGGAGUGGGCUAAUUGCAUGUUUUCUUUUUGAUUCAGGGGUUUCUGUGGCAAAACUAAUGGCUAGUUUGUAAAUUCAGAUAGAAGUGAUCUGGCACGAAAUGUUACGCCAUGUAGGCAAAAAAGGGCCCCAACUGUCAUAAGCGUGCUCAAUGGAGCCAAAUCCGCAGAUCAGUGUUAUUUGCAAAAAGAUUACUGAAGACAUGGUGUUUUCUGCAAAAAAACUGUAUUGUAGUGUUUUUCGCAAACCUAACCUUCAAACUGGUUGUUUUCUGCAAUUUACUCGUUGCCGGACAGUUUUCAGACCACAUAUUCAAACUCCAUGGCCUCCCCAGUGUUAUUGUAACUGACAGGGACAAUUUUCACCAGUAACCCGUGGCAGAAACUUUUCAAAUCACUGGGCAUCAAGCUUCACAUGAGUACUUCAUACCACCCCCAGUCUGAUGGGCAGACAGAAAGGGUUAACCAAUACUUGGAAAAUUACCUCGGUGCAUGGCUUUCCAACAGCCUACUAAGUGGCACUCCUGGCUGGCACUAGCUGAAUGGCGGUACAACACCACUUUCCACACCUCUCUGAAAAUGACUCCUUUUCAGGCUCUAUAUGGUUUCCCACCCCCCAUGGUUGCUGAAUCCAGUCUGCCUGAUUUUCUGUGUGAGGACUCACCUGACUUGCUGCUCAACAAGGACCUAGCUCACCAAGUGAUCAAGCAAAAUUUGCAGAAAGCACAAGAAAGAAUGAAACACUUUGUUUACAAAAAGAGAAAAGAAAGGAUCUUCCAGGAAGGUGAUAUGGUGUAUCUCAAGAUCCAACCAUACAGACAUACCUCUCUCAGUAUCCAUAGACAUUUGAAACUACACUCCCAAGUACUAUGGACCUUUCAGAAUUCUCAAAAGAAUGGGUAAUCAUGCUUAUCAGUUCUGCCUGAAGGGUGCAAGCUUCAUAACACAUUCCAUGCGAGUCAGCUCAAGCAACACAUUGGUACACAUGUCAUUCCCACCCCCACCCGCCAUUGGGAACAAGGGCAGAUACAACUCCAACCUGAAGCUAUCCUAGACAGAAAAUUAAUUCCUCGACCUGAAGGUGAUAUCUCUAUUCCUGUGGUCAGAUGGUUGGUGAAAUGGCUCAAUUUACCUGUAGAAGAAGCUGGCUGGGAGGAUUCUGCAUUUAUCCAGAAAAUCUUCCCACAUUUCCAGCCUUCAGAACAAGUCUGAUCUUCNNNNNNNNNNNNNNNNNNNNNNNNNNNNNNNNNNNNNNNNNNNNNNNNNNNNNNNNNNNNNNNNNNNNNNNNNNNNNNNNNNNNNNNNNNNNNNNNNNNNNNNNNNNNNNNNNNNNNNNNNNNNNNNNNNNNNNNNNNNNNNNNNNNNNNNNNNNNNNNNNNNNNNNNNNNNNNNNNNNNNNNNNNNNNNNNNNNNNNNNNNNNNNNNNNNNNNNNNNNNNNNNNNNNNNNNNNNNNNNNNNNNNNNNNNNNNNNNNNNNNNNNNNNNUCAGGCCCUCUGCUCUCUGAAUCUCCUGUACCUGUUCAUCGUCCGACAACAGCCGUAGACCGUCAUAUCCUCAUCGCGUGGCUGGAGUGUAGUCCGAAGCGGUACACAGUUACUUAAACCGUCAUCUGAGCAUCGUCCGAUCUCCAUCCGUGGGCUAUGAUCAAAUCACUGUAGCACACGCACUUACUGUACGUGUUCAUGUCGCUGUCAGGCUGCUUUUACCUUCAGUAAACUUUUCCUCUUUAUAAAGACCUCAGAUCCCAUCGGGAGAGGCAUCGAAUGUAAACUGGGUUGUAACCCUAGCCGCCACUGGAGUGGUUGGCCUACUUUCCUCAUCUUGUAAGAACCCUAGCGAGUUUCCUCUGAAAUCAAGCAAGAAUUCCUCUGAAAUUCCAUGUGUUUGUUUUUGUCAGUUAGUUAGAGCCUGACAAUACAUAGGAUCCAACUGUUCCAGUUGCUCCCAACCGUGAACCGUCGGAUUGAAAUUCCAGUGGCUGUUAUUGGUCCAUAUUGGUGCACUACGUAGGAUUGUAGAUAUAGUUAUACUUGUCCCGCGGUGGAAUCCUAGUUAAACAAAAUAGUUGCUGUGCUAUUAUUCAAAUGGUAUGUGUUGGCAACCUGCAUACAUCUAUUUCCAAAUCUGCUUAUUUUUGAAAUAUAUCCAAACAUACAAAAUUCAGUGAUACCUAAGCUCUGGUCAAGAACUUGAUGUUGACCGUGUGAAACAUGUUGCAAUUUUGUUUGGUAGAUUGCUGGACAGAACCGGAGAAGCGACCAAGCUGCCAGGAGAUCCUGACCCGUUUGCUUGAUUGCGAGUACACCUUAUGUUGAGCUAUUUUAGCGCUAGUAUGUAUAGCGGCUAGAGGCAACACAUUGGUUCGGUUUAUACAUCAUUUCUUUUCCCCUCUUUCACCAUUUUGACAUCUUUGAGAUGUAAAUUAUCAAACUGCAGUAUAAUAAUAAGAACUUCUCAUAGCAUCCUGAAUAUUACACCAUUGUCCUGGAUUAAGCAAUUUCCAUUAUAGUCGUGUAUUUCUUUGUUCAUGUGAUGGAAAUGCUUAUGGGAUGUACCAUUUGUCUAAUAUAAGUUUGACAUAGCUAUUAUGUAUUGUUACAGUUUAAAUUUAUCUGGGUGGGGAACUGGGAGAACUAGAUGAUACCCCGCGCGCUGCAGCGGGACUUAUGCUUCUCAAUUGAUGCAAAGUGAAUUGAAAUAU
Molecule: long non-coding RNA, 7743 nt
Filed under: Triticum aestivum (bread wheat)
Lineage: Eukaryota; Viridiplantae; Streptophyta; Magnoliopsida; Poales; Poaceae
Description: long non-coding RNA (TAES_LNC010249)
Source: RNAcentral